Long non-coding RNA from Sciurus carolinensis (gray squirrel), 2525 nucleotides. RefSeq lists it as uncharacterized. The record is from RefSeq and is a predicted model, not a curated record. Lineage: Eukaryota; Metazoa; Chordata; Mammalia; Rodentia; Sciuridae. The transcript is spliced from 4 exons.
UAUGGCUCAGCAGUUGAGUGCCCUCAGUUCAAUCCUUGGUACAAAAAAAAAAAAGUUUCCUAGCAUUAUGCAAUCUGUGUUCUCAGAAAUUAUUUAUGAUAAAAAUUUUACAACACUAACUCUCCCAGCAAUACAUUACUUUUAGAGUCCUAAAGUGAAGAUUCCUUUUUGAGUAGAAAGCAAGUACUUCAUUAACCUUUCUUUAUAUUUGAUUGUUUAUCAGUAAACAUUGAUAUUACAUCAGAAUUUAAUUUUUUCCUUUGAAACUAAUAAUAUGAAGUGGCUCUUUUUAUCCAGAGUGUUUUGUUUCAGACACUGAUUCACAGGGGCUAAAAAAUAAGAUAAGCUUUUUGCCAUUGAUGAGUUAACAGUUAUUGCAGGAGAGAGAGAAAGAAAUCAGUCACCAUCAUAUGGUUUGAUUAACUCUAUGCUGGAGGAACAAGUACAGUGUCAUAGAGGAGGGCAUCCAGUUCAACUUCAGGAUGAAGUAGUUAUUCUGUAGAGACAACUCUCAGAAGCAUAAUACAUAUACAAAUUUUGUGUUUCACCUUCUACGGUAUAUGUAAGCAGUAUUUAUUGUUAGAAUCAUCAACAAUUAUUUUACAAAGGGGAAAAAUGAAUCCUUUUGAACCUUCAUUUCUCAGAAGUGCUCUGAUCCCAGAGUCAUCCAUUGGAAGAUUCAGAGGAACCCGAGGUCCUUGAAGAUUUUUACAUGCACUUUCCAUCAGGAAAUCCUAAAGAGUAAAGAACACCUGGAACUUCAGACUCUCCUAAAUCUCUGUGAUCCAUUUGCCCCACGCUUCUGCGUUUGGCUUCACGGAUUUUUUUCUGGGUAAAAUUCUGCCUUGCACCUGCUUCAGCAAGAGAGCACAGAGCCAGAGACAGCAGCCCAAGUCUGUGUCAGUGGAGAUCUGAGUCGCGGCCCAGAUUCAAGGAAGGCGCGCCGCGCGCUCGCGCGCCCCCUGCCGGCCGGGCCCCGGGGCCCCAGCUACCUGGAUCGGGCGCCUCCCGAAGCGGUUGACUCCAUUGGGAUCUGCACCGGCUUCCAGAAGCUGCCGCACCUUCUCCACUUGUCCCCGCGCCGCGGCGCUGGCCAGGCCCGCAUCGCUGCCGCUGCCGCCGAGCAUGCCCUUGUCCUCUUCUCGCAUUCCUCAGCCUCCAGACACUGAGCGGUUCGGAUAAUCCACUGCUGACCCUGAGUUUAGCGACCCUCCACUUUCUUCCACACUGCUGGGGCGCACUCCUCCCUCCUCAGCAGAGCCAGGCUUAGCUUCACCCCCCUCUCUCUGUCCUUCUGCCGUUUGGGGCCGGUGCAAUGGUGGAGUGGUUAACUUCGGAUUUUUUCUGGAGCCGGAGAACCAGCGAACGCUCGUGGCUCGCUCCUGGGAAAAAGCGCCUGGCGCGGCCGCUGCCUAACUCUGGCGGAGUGGGGAGCCAGCUGCGAAUGAAUUCCGUUUCCAGCUGGGCUGCCCGCCCGGCUCUCCCCACCCCCCUAGGCUCCGCCUCCUGUCCCGCAGGCCAGCUAGGGCGCGUCCCUGGGGCUGGGGGAGACGUCCAGCAGCGGGCCGGUGACGUCACAGACCAUGGGGGCGGUGUUUAGAGCGCGGAGCGAGAGGGGCGGGGCGGAGGGAGUCGGGCAGCCAGCCCAGAAGAUUCUAACGUGGAACGCUCGCGAGCUGCUGGCUGGGUGUCUGGUAAAGUGAAGGCUUCGUGUUUGAAAAUCUUGACCCACUGAGCUCAGCUCCUAAUCCCCAGUAGGUGGAGCAAAGGAUUUGUAUUCCUUUAGUCCUAGGCCAACAGGUCUGGAGACAUUAGUCGCUGCAUUGUAAUCAAGUGGCUGAGAGAAAACCUUUGAAAAUAACUCCUACUUUCUAUAGAUGCCUGAAAAUGACAGCUCUGCACCUGUCAAUGCAGGGUAGAUUCAUCCCCAGGCAGUACUUAAACUUCACUAGUUUCACAUCGUGCAGAAACCUUAGCAGUUUUCUUUUGGGUGUGCCUAUUUGACUUAGUCAUCCAGAAAAAUAGUGAAAAAAAAAUCUGAGAAUCCUCUUUUGCAUGUCUUUUAAAUUCUUUUUAUCUUUGAAUUGUGGAUAUGAUUCUGAAAUAAAUAACUUUCUUUUUAGAACUAAGAGGUCAAGGCUAGCAACCUGGCAUAGGUAACACAUAUAGAGUUAUAUUUUAAGAAUCUGAGACUCCUGCUGACACAUGCCUGAAGUUUGAGCUACUCAAGAGGCUGGGACAGGAGGAUCACUUGAGUCCAGGAGUUUCAGGUCAGCUUGAGCAGUAUAAAAUGACCCUAUCUCAAAACAACAACAAAAAGUUUAAGAUCCCGGUUUCAUGAUAUUUGUGCAAUGUAUCUUUGCCCUCUAACCUAUAUAAACCCACCUCAGCGUAUGUUUGAUUUUUAUUUAUCAUGAGUAAUAAAGGACAUUUAUGCAGUAAUAAUGAAGCAUAAUAAAACAUGGGUGUGGUACUGGGCCUGUCAUUAAACUGGCUGAACCUGUCAUUAAAUCCACUUCUGAAGA